CAACUAUCACUCCGUCCGAAAAUACUUGUCAUCAAAAUAGAUAAAAAUUGAUGUAUCUAGAACUAAUAUACAUCUAGAUACAUCCCUUUUAUUUAUUUUGAUGACAACUAUUUCCGGACGGAGGGAGUAUUUG
Triticum urartu is the source of this 133-nucleotide non-coding RNA. Lineage: Eukaryota; Viridiplantae; Streptophyta; Magnoliopsida; Poales; Poaceae. The record is from Rfam.